Molecule: ribosomal RNA, 460 nt
Filed under: Theileria velifera
Lineage: Eukaryota; Apicomplexa; Aconoidasida; Piroplasmida; Theileriidae
Description: SSU rRNA
Rfam family: Eukaryotic small subunit ribosomal RNA
Source: RNAcentral
CGGGGCUUAAUGUCUUGUAAUUGGAAUGAUGGGAAUUUAAACCUCUUCCAGAGUAUCAAUUGGAGGGCAAGUCUGGUGCCAGCAGCCGCGGUAAUUCCAGCUCCAAUAGCGUAUAUUAAAAUUGUUGCAGUUAAAAAGCUCGUAGUUGAAUUUCUGCUACAUUGCCUAUUCUCCUUUACGAGUUUGGGUCUUUUGUGGCUUAUCUGGGUUCGCUUGCGUUCCCGGUAUUUUACUUUGAGAAAAUUAGAGUGCUCAAAGCAGGCUUUUGCCUUGAAUAGUUUAGCAUGGAAUAAUAAAGUAGGACUUUGGUUCUAUUUUGUUGGUUUUAGGUACCAAAGUAAUGGUUAAUAGGAACAGUUGGGGGCAUUCGUAUUUAACUGUCAGAGGUGAAAUUCUUAGAUUUGUUAAAGACGAACUACUGCGAAAGCAUUUGCCAAGGAUGUUUUCAUUAAUCAAGAAC